This 246-nucleotide ribosomal RNA is filed under the name uncultured bacterium. RNAcentral describes it as "partial 16S ribosomal RNA". It matches the Rfam family "Bacterial small subunit ribosomal RNA", at positions 92 to 334 of the family's 1533-position model. The record is from RNAcentral.
CGACCGGCGCACGGUGAGUAACACGUAUGCAAUCCACCUGGUAACAGGGGGAUAACCCGGAGAAAUCCGGACUAAUACCCCAUAAUAUGGGCUCUCCGCAUGGAGGGUCCAUUAAAGAGAGCAAUUUUGGUUACAGACGAGCAUGCGCUCCAUUAGCCAGUUGGCGGGGUAACGGCCCACCAAAGCGACGAUGGAUAGGGGUUCUGAGAGGAAGGUCCCCCACAUUGGAACUGAGACACGGUCCAA